This 484-nucleotide ribosomal RNA is filed under the name uncultured bacterium. Its description in RNAcentral is "partial 16S ribosomal RNA". It matches the Rfam family "Bacterial small subunit ribosomal RNA", at positions 30 to 507 of the family's 1533-position model. The record is from RNAcentral.
AUUGAACGCUGGCGGCAGGCCUAACACAUGCAAGUCGAGCGGAUGAAGGGAGCUUGCUCCUGGAUUCAGCGGCGGACUGGUGAGUAAUGCCUAGGAAUCUGCCUGGUAGUGGGGGAUAACGUCCGGAAACGGGCGCUAAUACCGCAUACGUCCUGAGGGAGAAAGUGGGGGAUCUUCGGACCUCACGCUAUCAGAUGAGCCUAGGUCGGAUUAGCUAGUUGGUGGGGUAAAGGCCUACCAAGGCGACGAUCCGUAACUGGUCUGAGAGGAUGAUCAGUCACACUGGAACUGAGACACGAUCCAGACUCCUACGGGAGGCAGCAGUGGGGAAUAUUGGACAAUGGGCGAAAGCCUGAUCCAGCCAUGCCGCGUGUGUGAAGAAGGUCUUCGGAUUGUAAAGCACUUUAAGUUGGGAGGAAGGGCAGUAAGUUAAUACCUUGCUGUUUUGACGUUACCAACAGAAUAAGCACCGGCUAACUUCGUG